UAGGGAAUCUUCGGCAAUGGGGGCAACCCUGACCGAGCAACGCCGCGUGAGUGAAGAAGGUUUUCGGAUCGUAAAGCUCUGUUGUAAGUCAAGAACGGGUGUGAGAGUGGAAAGUUCACACUGUGACGGUAGCUUACCAGAAAGGGACGGCUAACUACGUGCCAGCAGCCGCGGUAAUACGUAGGUCCCGAGCGUUGUCCGGAUUUAUUGGGCGUAAAGCGAGCGCAGGCGGUUUUGAUAAGUCU
This 245-nucleotide ribosomal RNA is filed under the name uncultured bacterium. Its description in RNAcentral is "partial 16S ribosomal RNA". It matches the Rfam family "Bacterial small subunit ribosomal RNA", at positions 355 to 590 of the family's 1533-position model. The record is from RNAcentral.